Molecule: non-coding RNA, 1543 nt
Organism: Paramisgurnus dabryanus
Lineage: Eukaryota; Metazoa; Chordata; Actinopteri; Cypriniformes; Cobitidae
Source: RefSeq, a predicted model, not a curated record
UUACAUGUUGUUUUGCCAAAAUGAUUUGUGAGAUGUAUGAUAUUUAAUCAUGUAAACAAAGUUCAAAGCAAUUAAGGUAUUUUGUUUCAUUUCUUUAAAGUGUUUUAUACACCGUCUGUACUAGCCACUAUUUAGCUUACAAAUAGACCGACUACGAAUAACCCACGUUUAGCCCAGAAAUAACCAUUAAUUUAAUUACAUGUGGUUUUUGCCAAAAUAACUUGUGAGAUGUAUGGUAUUUCAUUGUAAGCAAAGUUAACAGCGAUUACAAGGUUUGUUUAAUUUCUUUAAAGUGUUUUAUGCACCGUCGUACAUAUAGCCACUAUUUAGCUCAUAAAUAGACCGACUACGAACAAACCAUGUUUAGCCCAAAAUAACCUUGAAUUUAAUAAAAUUUUGUUUUUGUCAAAAUAACUUGCAAAAUUUAUGAUAUUUCAUCAGGCAUGCAAAGACACCAGUGAAUGUAAGAUGUUUGGUUUUAUUUAUCUUAUCUGAAUAUCUGCUGUCACGCAUAACAUUCAUUAUUUGACCGUAUUUCAAAGAUAAACAAAAUCCAGUUACAACUCCGAACCGCUAGAUGGCAGCAGUACACAAACACGAGGCCAAAUCUCACGAGAAAGAUUUCCGCGGUUUGAAAAGCAACAACAUCAGCGAGCAGCGAUGAGGAAAGCAAUCUACCACACUCGUUUGGUUUUGUGUCAAAGCUCUGCGAAACUGGAGGGAGAAACUUGAGAGACUGUGCCGGAAGAAUGCUGGACAGAGUUCACUAAAAUUCAUUAAUUUCAAAGUUCAACAUGAAUGGUGGUGGUCCACUGCAGAAGCAAGCAUUUGAAAAAACAUCAGUUCUCAGUUAUUAAAGAUGCUGUGUUGAACAACUUCCCAGCAGCAACAGAACUGGACGUGAAGGAUGCAAUGGGGGCAUUUCAAACAGUCACCAGGGAGCACGGGGGGGGGGUAUAGAAAUUAGUACAAUUAAUAAGUUGACGUGAACUGAAGAUAGUUUGUUAAUGUUUAGAUGUUAUUUCAUUUUUAAAAUUGUAUUUUGUUAUAUAUGCUUUUAUUUUGUUACUGUUUUUAUUCUUUUUGUUAAGUAGUUUUUCUUAAUUUUGUCUUAUCUGAAUUUCUAUUGUAUUAACAAUAUUUUUUUGUAAUAAAUUGCAUGAUUGCAUGUUUAUGAGAACCUUUUUUAAUGGAUUAAAAAGAAUUCUUUAGCCAUUCUUUUGUUGUUUAUUAGACACACACGUGUAGUCGUUUAAUAGCCGUCUAUUUAACGGCUAGUCUAUUCUUGGGCUAUGAUAGACGUCUACUAGAUUUUCAUUGACAGCCCAAAAUUAGCCUUGUUUUAGCCUAGACCCACAUUCACCGUCUAUUAGACGUAUAUAUGUAGACGUUUAAUAGCCGUCUAUUUGAUGACUAGUCUAUUCUUGGGCUAUGAUAGACGUCUACUAGAUUUUCACUGACAGCCCAAAAUUAGCCUUGUUUUAGCCUAGACGUCAGGGGGGUGUUUAGACGGCUACUAGACGUCUAUUAGCCGCAAAAUUGC